Molecule: non-coding RNA, 125 nt
Organism: Triticum aestivum (bread wheat)
Lineage: Eukaryota; Viridiplantae; Streptophyta; Magnoliopsida; Poales; Poaceae
Source: Rfam
CAGGUAUUCCCCCAUCCGAAAAAGUUUGUCCCAAGCUUGUUCCUCAAAUGGACGUAUCUAGCACUAACUUGGUGCUAGACACAUCCAUUUGAGGGACAAGCUUUUUCGGACGGAGGGAGUAGUUU